Molecule: ribosomal RNA, 301 nt
Filed under: uncultured bacterium
Lineage: Bacteria
Description: partial 16S ribosomal RNA
Rfam family: Bacterial small subunit ribosomal RNA
Source: RNAcentral
CAGCCGCCACGGUAAUACGGAGGGUGCAAGCGUUAAUCGGAAUUACUGGGUGUAAAGCGCACGCAGGCGGUCUGACAAGUCAGAUGUGAAAUCCCCGGGCUUAACCUGGGAACUGCAUUUGAAACUGUCAGGCUGGAGUCUUGUAGAGGGGGGUAGAAUUCCAGGUGUAGCGGUGAAAUGCGUAGAGAUCUGGAGGAAUACCGGUGGCGAAGGCGGCCCCCUGGACAAAGACUGACGCUCAGGUGCGAAAGCGUGGGGAGCAAACAGGAUUAGAUACCCCAGUAGUCCCUGUCUCUUAUAC